This 497-nucleotide ribosomal RNA is filed under the name uncultured bacterium. RNAcentral's name for it is "partial 16S ribosomal RNA". It matches the Rfam family "Bacterial small subunit ribosomal RNA", at positions 28 to 507 of the family's 1533-position model. The record is from RNAcentral.
GAUGAACGCUGGCGGCGUGCCUAAUACAUGCAAGUCGAGCGAACGGACGCGAAGCUUGCUUCUCUGAUGUUAGCGGCGGACGGGUGAGUAACACGUGGAUACCCUACCUAUCAGACUGGGAUAACUUCGGGACACCGGAGCUAAUACCGGAUAAUCUUUUGAACCGCAUGGUUCAAAAGUGAGAGACGGCCUUGCUGUCACUUAUAGCUGCAUCCGCGCUGCAUUAGCUAGUUGGUAAGGUAACGGCUUACCAAGGCAACGAUGCAUAGCCGACCUGAGAGGGUGAUCGGCCACACUGGAACUGAGACACGGUCCAGACUCCUACGGGAGGCAGCAGUAGGGAAUCUUCCGCAAUGGGCGAAAGCCUGACGGAGCAACGCCGCGUGAGUGAUGAAGGUCUUCGGAUCGUAAAACUCUGUUAUUAGGGAAGAACAUAUGUGUAAGUAACUGUGCACAGCGUGACGGUACCUAAUCAGAAAGCCACGGCUAACUACGUG